RNAcentral lists this ribosomal RNA (460 nucleotides) under uncultured bacterium. Its description in RNAcentral is "partial 16S ribosomal RNA". It matches the Rfam family "Bacterial small subunit ribosomal RNA", at positions 338 to 795 of the family's 1533-position model. The record is from RNAcentral.
CCUACGGGCGGCAGCAGUGAGGAAUAUUGGUCAAUGGGCGGGAGCCUGAACCAGCCAAGUCGCGUGAGGGAAGACGGUCCUAUGGAUUGUAAACCUCUUUAGGCGGGGAGCAAUGCCGGGCACGCGUGCCCGGAGGGAGAGUACCCGCAGAAUAAGCAUCGGCUAACUCCGUGCCAGCAGCCGCGGUAAUACGGAGGAUGCGAGUGUUAUCCGGAUUUAGUGGGUUUAAAGGGUGCGUAGGCGGAUUUUUAAGUCAGCGGUAAAAUGUCGGGGCUCAACCCGGGCCGGCCGUUGAAACUGGGGAUCUAGAGUGUGCGAGAGGUAUGCGGAAUGCGUGGUGUAGCGGUGAAAUGCAUAGAUAUCACGCAGAACCCCGAUUGCGAAGGCAGCAUACCGGUGCACAACUGACGCUCAGGCACGAAAGCGUGGGUAUCGAACAGGAUUAGAUACCCUGGUAGUC